UGUUUGUCUAGAAGAGAGGGCACAGC
This 26-nucleotide non-coding RNA is filed under the name Rattus norvegicus (Norway rat). The record is from RNAcentral. Lineage: Eukaryota; Metazoa; Chordata; Mammalia; Rodentia; Muridae.